RNAcentral lists this ribosomal RNA (414 nucleotides) under uncultured soil bacterium. RNAcentral describes it as "bacterial SSU rRNA". It matches the Rfam family "Bacterial small subunit ribosomal RNA", at positions 37 to 494 of the family's 1533-position model. The record is from RNAcentral.
UGGCGGCAGGCCUAAACAACAUGCAAGUCGAAACGCCGUAGCAAUACGGAGUGGCAGACGGGUGAGUAACGCGUGGAAACCUUCCCUAUGGUUCGGAAUAGCUCAGGGAAACCUGGGGUAAUACCGGAUAAGCCCUUCGGGGGAAAGAUUUAUCGCCAUUGGAUGGGCCCGCGUAGGAUUAGCUAGUUGGUGAGGUAACGGCUCACCAAGGCGACGAUCCUUAGCUGGUCUGAGAGGAUGAUCAGCCACACUGGGACUGAGACACGGCCCAGACUCCUACGGGAGGCAGCAGUGGGGAAUAUUGGACAAUGGGCGAAAGCCUGAUCCAGCCAUGCCGCGUGAGUGACGAAGGCCUUAGGGUUGUAAAGCUCUUUUGGCGGGGAAGAUAAUGACGGUACCCGCAGAAUAAGCUCC